Molecule: ribosomal RNA, 253 nt
Filed under: uncultured bacterium
Lineage: Bacteria
Description: partial 16S ribosomal RNA
Rfam family: Bacterial small subunit ribosomal RNA
Source: RNAcentral
UACAGAGGGUGCGAGCGUUAUCCGGAUUCACUGGGUUUAAAGGGUGCGUAGGUGGGAAUGUAAGUCAGUGGUGAAAUCUCUGAGCUUAACUCAGAAACUGCCAUUGAUACUAUGUUUCUUGAAUUUUCUGGAGGUCAGCGGAAUAUGUCAUGUAGCGGUGAAAUGCUUAGAUAUGACAUAGAACACCAAUUGCGAAGGCAGCUGGCUACAGGGAUAUUGACACUGAGGCACGAAAGCGUGGGGAUCAAACAGG